GGGCCCGCACAAGCGGAGGAGCAUGUGGUUUAAUUCGAUGAUACGCGAGGAACCUUACCCGGGCUUAAAUGACAGAUGACGUACUUUGAAAGGAGUAUUUCGUAAGACAUCUGUUAAGGUGCUGCAUGGUUGUCGUCAGCUCGUGCCGUGAGGUGUCGGGUUAAGUCCCAUAACGAGCGCAACCCUCAUAUUCAGUUACCAGCACGUAAAGGUGGGGACUCUGGAUAGACUGCCUACGCAAGUAGAGAGGAAGGUGGGGAUGACGUCAAAUCAGCACGGCCCUUACGUCCGGGGCUACACACGUGCUACAAUGGUCGAGACAGAGGGCAGCGAGCCGGUGACGGUAAGCGAAUCUCAGAAACUCGGUCACAGUCCGGAUCGGAGUCUGCAACCCGACUCCGUGAAGUUGGAUUCGCUAGUAAUCGCGCAUCAGCCAUGGCGCGGUGAAUACGUUCCCGGGCCUU
RNAcentral lists this ribosomal RNA (464 nucleotides) under uncultured bacterium. Its description in RNAcentral is "bacterial SSU rRNA". It matches the Rfam family "Bacterial small subunit ribosomal RNA", at positions 917 to 1382 of the family's 1533-position model. The record is from RNAcentral.